GUUUUAAUAGUUUAAAAAAAACCUUGGUCUUGUAAACCAAAAUUAGGAAACUCCUUUAAAACU
RNAcentral lists this transfer RNA (63 nucleotides) under Xyela sp. ZJUH_2016036. Its description in RNAcentral is "tRNA-Thr". It matches the Rfam family "tRNA". Rfam says of the family: Transfer RNA (tRNA) molecules are approximately 80 nucleotides in length. Their secondary structure includes four short double-helical elements and three loops (D, anti-codon, and T loops). The record is from RNAcentral. Lineage: Eukaryota; Metazoa; Arthropoda; Insecta; Hymenoptera; Xyelidae.